This 1080-nucleotide ribosomal RNA is filed under the name uncultured Bicosoecida. RNAcentral describes it as "bacterial SSU rRNA". It matches the Rfam family "Eukaryotic small subunit ribosomal RNA", at positions 1 to 1147 of the family's 1831-position model. Lineage: Eukaryota; Bigyra; Bicosoecida. The record is from RNAcentral.
AUGGAUAUCUGCAGAAUUCGCCCUACCUGGUUGAUCCUGCCAGUAGUCAUACGCUUGUCUCAAAGAUUAAGCCAUGCAUGUCUAAGUACAAGCCCUUGUACGGUGAAACUGCGAAAUGGCUCAAUAAAUCGGUUUUAAGACACUUGAUAGUCUCUCUACUUGGAUAACCGUAGCAAUUCUAGAGCUAAUACAUGCUAUCCUUCGGGUGAGCUUAUUAGAUCCAACCCAACCGUGGUGAGUCAUAGUAAUCAAUCUGAUUGGCGCAAGCCGACGGUUCAAUCUCGAUUCCGCCCUAUCAGCUUUCGACGGGUAGGGUAUUGGCCUACCGUGGCGUUAACGGGUAACGGAGAAUUAGGGUUCGAUUCCGGAGAGGGAGCCUGAGAAACGGCUACCCCAUCCAAGGAAGGCAGCAGGCGCGUAAAUUACCCAAUCCUAAAGCAGGGAGGUAGUGACAAUAAAUACUGACGCCGGAUUCAAUGAAUCUGGUAAAGAAUGAGAACAGUCUAAAACCCUUAUCGAGGACCCAUUGGAGGGCAAGUCUGGUGCCCAGCCAGCCCGCGGUAAUUCCAGCUCCAAUAGCCGUAUAUUAAAGUUGUUGCAGUUAAAAAGCCUCGUAGUUGAAUUUCGGGUUUCCGGCGCCUCCCGCCUUCAUUGCGGGGACACGGGGACCCUCCUCGCCUUAGGGCCGUCAUUUACUGUGAAAAAAUUAGAGUGUUCAAAGCAGGCCAAUCGCUUGAAUACAUUAGCAUGGAAUAAUAAGAUAGGGAUUACGUCUAUUUUGUUGGUUGCGGACGAUAAUAAUGAUUAAUAGGGAUAGUUGGGGGUGUCCGUAUUGAGCUGUCAGAGGUGAAAUUCUUGGAUUUGCUCAAGACGAACUACUGCGAAAGCAUUCACCAAGGAUAUUUUCAUUAAUCAAGAACGAAAGUCAGGGGAUCGAAGAGGAUUAGAUACCCUCGUAGUCUUGACCAUAAACUAUGCCGACUCGGGAUUGGCAGACGUUGUAUCGACUCUGUCAGCACCGUAUGAUAAAUCAAAGUCUUUGGGUUCCGGGGGGAGUAUGGUCGCAAGGCUGAAACUUAA